RNAcentral lists this ribosomal RNA (549 nucleotides) under uncultured bacterium. RNAcentral describes it as "bacterial SSU rRNA". It matches the Rfam family "Bacterial small subunit ribosomal RNA", at positions 355 to 896 of the family's 1533-position model. The record is from RNAcentral.
UGGGGAAUAUUGCACAAUGGGCGCAAGCCUGAUGCAGCCAUGCCGCGUGUAUGAAGAAGGCCUUCGGGUUGUAAAGUACUUUCAGCGAGGAGGAAGGCGUUAAGGUUAAUAACCUUGGCGAUUGACGUUACUCGCAGAAGAAGCACCGGCUAACUCCGUGCCAGCAGCCGCGGUAAUACGGAGAGUGCAAGCGUUAAUCGGAAUUACUGGGCGUAAAGCGCACGCAGGCGGUCUGUCAAGUCGGAUGUGAAAUCCCCGGGCUCAACCUGGGAACUGCAUUCGAAACUGGCAGGCUAGAGUCUUGUAGAGGGGGGUAGAAUUCCAGGUGUAGCGGUGAAAUGCGUAGAGAUCUGGAGGAAUACCGGUGGCGAAGGCGGCCCCCUGGACAAAGACUGACGCUCAGGUGCGAAAGCGUGGGGAGCAAACAGGAUUAGAUACCCUGGUAGUCCACGCCGUAAACGAUGUCGACUUGGAGGUUGUGCCCUUGAGGCGUGGCUUCCGGAGCUAACGCGUUAAGUCGACCGCCUGGGGAGUACGGCCGCAAGGUUA